AGAGUUUGAUCCUGGCUCAGGAUGAACGCUAGCGGGAGGCCUAACACAUGCAAGCCGAGCGGUAGGUUUCCUUCGGGAAACUGAGAGCGGCGCACGGGUGCGGAACACGUGUGCAACCUGCCUUUAUCAGGGGGAUAGCCUUUCGAAAGGAAGAUUAAUACCCCAUAAUAUAUCAGAUGGCAUCAUUUGAUAUUGAAAACUACGGUGGAUAAAGAUGGGCACGCGCAGGAUUAGAUAGUUGGUAGGGUAACGGCCUACCAAGUCAACGAUCCUUAGGGGGCCUGAGAGGGUGAUCCCCCACACUGGUACUGAGACACGGACCAGACUCCUACGGGAGGCAGCAGUGAGGAAUAUUGGACAAUGGGUGAGAGCCUGAUCCAGCCAUCCCGCGUGAAGGACGACGGCCCUAUGGGUUGUAAACUUCUUUUGUAUAGGGAUAAACCUACUCUCGUGAGAGUAGCUGAAGGUACUAUACGAAUAAGCACCGGCUAACUCCGUGCCAGCAGCCGCGGUAAUACGGAGGGUGCAAGCGUUAUCCGGAUUUAUUGGGUUUAAAGGGUCCGUAGGCUGAUUUGUAAGUCAGUGGUGAAAUCUCACAGCUCAACUGUGAAACUGCCAUUGAUACUGCAAGUCUUGAGUGUUGUUGAAGUAGCUGGAAUAAGUAGUGUAGCGGUGAAAUGCAUAGAUAUUACUUAGAACACCAAUUGCGAAGGCAGGUUACUAAGCAACAACUGACGCU
This 739-nucleotide ribosomal RNA is filed under the name Chryseobacterium carnipullorum. RNAcentral's name for it is "bacterial SSU rRNA". It matches the Rfam family "Bacterial small subunit ribosomal RNA", at positions 8 to 747 of the family's 1533-position model. Lineage: Bacteria; Pseudomonadati; Bacteroidota; Flavobacteriia; Flavobacteriales; Weeksellaceae. The record is from RNAcentral.